This 465-nucleotide ribosomal RNA is filed under the name Vreelandella stevensii. RNAcentral describes it as "partial 16S ribosomal RNA". It matches the Rfam family "Bacterial small subunit ribosomal RNA", at positions 338 to 795 of the family's 1533-position model. The record is from RNAcentral. Lineage: Bacteria; Pseudomonadati; Pseudomonadota; Gammaproteobacteria; Oceanospirillales; Halomonadaceae.
CCUACGGGCGGCUGCAGUGGGGAAUAUUGGACAAUGGGGGGAACCCUGAUCCAGCCAUGCCGCGUGUGUGAAGAAGGCCCUCGGGUUGUAAAGCACUUUCAGUGAGGAAGAACGCCUGGUGGUUAAUACCCAUCAGGAAAGACAUCACUCACAGAAGAAGCACCGGCUAACUCCGUGCCAGCAGCCGCGGUAAUACGGAGGGUGCGAGCGUUAAUCGGAAUUACUGGGCGUAAAGCGCGCGUAGGUGGCUUGAUAAGCCGGUUAUGAAAGCCCCGGGCUCAACCUGGGAACGGCAUCCGGAACUGUCAAGCUAGAGUGCAGGAGAGGAAGGUAGAAUUCCCGGUGUAGCGGUGAAAUGCGUAGAGAUCGGGAGGAAUACCAGUGGCGAAGGCGGCCUUCUGGACUGACACUGACACUGAGGUGCGAAAGCGUGGGUAGCAAACAGGAUUAGAUACCCUAGUAGUC